RNAcentral lists this ribosomal RNA (292 nucleotides) under uncultured bacterium. Its description in RNAcentral is "partial 16S ribosomal RNA". The record is from RNAcentral.
GGACUACCCGGGUAUCUAAUCCUGUUUGCUCCCCACGCUUUCGCACCUCAGCGUCAGUAUCUGCCCAGAUCGCCGCCUUCGCCACUGGUGUUCCUCCCGAUAUCUACGAAUUUCACCUCUACACCGGGAAUUCCGCGAUCCUCUUCAGUACUCAAGCCCAGUAGUUUCGAAUGCACUUCCUCGGUUAAGCCGAGGGCUUUCACACCCGACUUGCUGGACCGCCUACGUGCGCUUUACGCCCAAUGAUUCCGAGCAACGUUUGCACCCUCCGUAUUACCGCGGCUGCUGGCAC